This is a long non-coding RNA of Brassica napus (rape), 1115 nucleotides long. RefSeq lists it as uncharacterized. Lineage: Eukaryota; Viridiplantae; Streptophyta; Magnoliopsida; Brassicales; Brassicaceae. The transcript is spliced from 3 exons. The record is from RefSeq and is a predicted model, not a curated record.
UAGUGAUUACCGAUGCCAGAAUUGGAAGAUUGAAGACGCAAGUCUCGGGGAAGAUGGUCUGAUCGCCGAUAUUUUUGUUUUGAUGUAAGCUGUGAUGGAGGAGAUGAUUGAGUCUGGAGGCCGAUAGAUGUUUCUAUGCAACCGAGCGUUCCUUUCUGACCAGAUUAGAUAGAUGGUGCACUGCCACGCGAAGAGUGCUAAGAGCUUUGCAUGCCUCGGUCCCGACUGAUGCUGGAGGGCAGAGAGAGUGCGGUCCCACGAAGAGGAUGCAGAAAUACCUGAUCUAGUCCCAAUACUAUUCCAGAUCUGCCAAGAGUAAUAACAUUAAAAAAAGAGGUGGUUUCGGUUUUCGUCAGCAGAGCGGCAUAGAAGGCAGGAAGAGGGUGUAUUAAGCCCCCAUGAUAGCAGGCGGUCUCUAGUGGGACAAUGGUUUAAGACAAACAGCCACGCAAGGAAACUGUGUUUAGGAGUACCCCUUGGACACUAGACCGUGUUGCUCCAACUCACCACCGGAUUAUGAUAUUUUAGCUCUCUGUAGACCGUUCCUGUCGAAUAGGAAGUAGCCAAUUUCCAUUCUCAUUCAGGUCUGACAGAGUAGCACUUCUUGAUAUUCCCAGACGGGAGGAGGAAGGAAGGUUCAAGAAAUCAGAGAUACAACCAAAUGGACUCCAAUUAUCGCUCCAAAACCGACAGGCUACAGAGGGCAACACAGAAGGAAUUAAGGAAGUAAACGGCAGGGAGUGCAAACCAUGGUGCCGAAACAUACCUGCGAAGAUAGUUCAUGGACCUCGGCCGUCUUCUGGCGCUGCGGAACUUGAUGUGCAAGUGUUUGCUCAGAAGAUGGUUCAAAGUCAGCUCUCUUUGAUAGAACCUAAUCAUUUCUAUAGGUAGAUCACAUACAAAAUCGUAAAUGUUAUUCUUUUCCCUUAAAUCAAUAAAUUUUAAAACUAUAUUUAUAUAAUUUUAUAUACAUAUAUUAUAUUUAAAGUUUUGUAUGAUGAGAGUUAGCGAUUCAUAUUAUUUGAGAGGAGUGAAAAAAUGUAAUACAAUAAAAUGUUACGGUCCACGAAACUUCGUUUACUCUAAUUGGAUCAAACUUUGGUUGUAGUUGCUCA